GACGAACGCUGGCGGCGUGCUUAACACAUGCAAGUCGAACGCUGAAGCUCAGCUUUUGUUGGGUGGAUGAGUGGCGAACGGGUGAGUAACACGUGAGUAACCUGCCUCCUUCUUUGGGAUAACGCCCGGAAACGGGUGCUAAUACUGGAUAUUCACUGGUCUUCGCAUGGGGGUUGGUGGAAAGGGUUUUUCUGGUGGGGGAUGGGCUCGCGGCCUAUCAGCUUGUUGGUGGGGUGAUGGCCUACCAAGGCUUUGACGGGUAGCCGGCCUGAGAGGGUGACCGGUCACAUUGGGACUGAGAUACGGCCCAGACUCUUACGGGAGGCAGCAGUGGGGAAUAUUGCACAAUGGGCGCAAGCCUGAUGCAGCGACGCCGCGUGAGGGAUGGAGGCCUUCGGGUUGUGAACCUCUUUCGCUCAUGGUCAAGCCGCAACAAUGGUUGUGGUGAGGGUAGUGGGUAAAGAAGCGCCGGCUAACUACGUG
This 483-nucleotide ribosomal RNA is filed under the name uncultured bacterium. Its description in RNAcentral is "partial 16S ribosomal RNA". It matches the Rfam family "Bacterial small subunit ribosomal RNA", at positions 28 to 507 of the family's 1533-position model. The record is from RNAcentral.